GAAAAAACACUAGUGGUCGCCAAGUUGGUUAUUACACUCUUUAUCUCAGAGAGAGAAAACUGGAGGAAGGAAGAAAAAGGGUUUUAAGUUUGGAUGAAAAAAAUGGUAGAAAUCGAUGAUACAUCUCCAUCUACUGACAAAGAGACCUUGUUAGUGAACUACAUUGUUACUGGAAGUAAUGGAACUGAUCAUGACAUUGACAUACCAUCAAAGGGGAGGGUUUUUAAUGAUGAUGAUGAAAUCUACAAUUUUUACAAAGAACAUGCUAAUAAAAUUGGUUUUCCUGUACACAGAAGAUUUAAAAUGAACUGCAACAGACAGUUAUCAAAGCUAGCAUAAAAUGAAAACAACUUGGAUGAAAAAUGUAGAGAGAUAAUAGAUAAAGAUGGUGAAAGUGAAGGAGGUGAUAAAAUUUAGAGGUGUUGUACUCUUCCAUUCAAAGCUUGAUGAAAAGGUAGACAAAUAGCAUCAAAUGUAGGAGUGCAAUCUGGAAAGUGGUUGAUCUGUUUGGGAAUGUAGUGGUGGAAUCAAAAAACCUCUUCCUUCAAUGUCAGAAUGGCUUCUCCUCAGACAAGGAAUACUUGUGCUUGUAUGGGGUUUCUUCCAUUGAGCAGUGGAAGGUCAAAACAUGCACUCAUCAUUAACUUUGCUAGGGAUGCUGUGCGAGAGAAAAAGGCUGGUGAGCAGUAGUUGCAGACAACGGUGAUGACACACUACAUGAGUAACACUGUUAGCUGUGGGCAGUGUUUCUCAGAUCGUACAAGUGCUUUGUUGACAGUGCAGACUGUUAUUUUGGAACUGGCAUCCUUGCAGUUAGGGGGCGAAAGACUUAAGCUGCAUCCUCCACAAUACUUUGUAGCGACAAAUCUAGAUUUGCAAAAUGGAGUAGUUGAAGGAAACCAUACGAGUUGCUGAAGAUUUGAAGAUGGUUGCUGUCAGAGAGUACGAAAGAAUCAAGAGGCGCCGUUGGUGCUCUUAUACUACAAGGAGGACUACUUUUGAUGGUAUGUUGGGCGCUGGCUUGCUGAAAUCAAAAGGUGCGGGUUCACUAAACGGUGCGUUUAAUUAGAAUUCCACAAACCAGAAAUGUUAUGCCUACGGAAUUACCGACAAUUCCACACAUGCUGUGUUAGUCAAGAUCUAUCUUUGUUAAACCCCUGUGCUUCACCACCUGUCUUUGUGCAAGCACCUGCUGGGAAAGGAUUGGCCAGCUGCUAUUGAUUUUCUUAUGGGAGGAUCUGUUGUUGCUUAAGGGGGGAUGAGAGUGAGGAAAUUUUAGACUGCCAGAUCCCCUGCAUACGCGAGGACAGUGUUGUAUUAGUUGGACUUAUGGCUCAGUCAGAGCAUACGAGUGGUUCUGUCGAACCUAUUUCAUUUCAGUGAAGCUUAUUAAAUAGUAAAGGGGCCUUAAAGGUAACACAGAUCAAGGCGGUUAAGCUGGGAAACAUACCUCCGGGUGCUAUCAAGUGGACUCAUCCGAUGUCAAGGCACUUGUCUAUGUUUUCCGCAGUAGUGGUUGUCUGGUAGUAUCACUUUGUUGUGUUUGUCAGUAGAGUGUGGUUCAUCAUGCAUUGAACCCAGUCAAUAUAGAGGUGCUGAUGGUUUUGGAUGGAGAGAAGUAUGCAAAAGAUAUGCUAGUAUUAUGGUGGCGCUGCUGGUUUCAUGAGAUGUCCGGUUUGCAUAUUUUUCAUAUAUCCGUCUAAAGGUGAUAAAUGGAGUGUUACAGAAACUGAGUUAACCAGUGAUUUUGCCAUUUUCGCCAUUAUGCUUAACAUGGUUAUAUCAUUUCUAUAAUGAGUACGCUAAUGCUUCUUAUCACACAUGCUUAAAAUGAAUUUUGAACUGUUUCUCA
Molecule: long non-coding RNA, 1852 nt
Organism: Papaver somniferum (opium poppy)
Lineage: Eukaryota; Viridiplantae; Streptophyta; Magnoliopsida; Ranunculales; Papaveraceae
Exons: 6
Source: RefSeq, a predicted model, not a curated record